RNAcentral lists this ribosomal RNA (207 nucleotides) under uncultured Methylobacterium sp. RNAcentral describes it as "partial 16S ribosomal RNA". It matches the Rfam family "Bacterial small subunit ribosomal RNA", at positions 568 to 774 of the family's 1533-position model. The record is from RNAcentral. Lineage: Bacteria; Pseudomonadati; Pseudomonadota; Alphaproteobacteria; Hyphomicrobiales; Methylobacteriaceae.
CGCGUAGGCGGCGUUUUAAGUCGGGGGUGAAAGCCUGUGGCUCAACCACAGAAUGGCCUUCGAUACUGGGACGCUUGAGUAUGGUAGAGGUCGGUGGAACUGCGAGUGUAGAGGUGAAAUUCGUAGAUAUUCGCAAGAACACCGGUGGCGAAGGCGGCCGACUGGACCAUCACUGACGCUGAGGCGCGAAAGCGUGGGGAGCAAACA